AAAACCUAAGAGGGAGAGAAGAAGAACUCAUGGGCAAAAGCUAUUUUCGCAACCCUUUGGCAGCCUUCACAAAUCAUGUCAUAACUCUCUGCUCGUAACUCCAAAUCAGGGAGGUUCUCGAUGAGGGAGAUAAGCGAGUUUGAAGAUUGGGAAUUCUUGCUGAAAGUGAAGAAAAGAGGCUUACGGGUUUGAUGGAGAAGAAGGGGAAAAGUCCAGAUUCUUGGCUAAGAUUGGCGAAUAGCGGCUUGUGGCUUUGGUGAGGAUAGCUCAUAGGCCAGUUGUUUAGUUAGCGUCAGGUGUCAUGCUCUGAUAUUUGUAACACUGGGGACGCGAUGUUUAGAGUUUAUGUUUUAUAACUCUGGUUAUAUUUUGAUGUUUUGGAGGAUAAGUUUUAAAGAUGUUAAACUUAAUCUGUAUGAUCUUGAUUUCCGCUGUGUUAACAUGAAAUGUUUUAUUUGAUGACGGUUCGCCUCAGUGAAUGCAUGACAUGACUGAACGAUGUUAAUUAAAUUUUGAA
This is a long non-coding RNA of Vicia villosa (hairy vetch), 517 nucleotides long. RefSeq lists it as uncharacterized. The record is from RefSeq and is a predicted model, not a curated record. NCBI's taxonomy places the organism in Eukaryota, Viridiplantae, Streptophyta, Magnoliopsida, Fabales, Fabaceae. The transcript has 3 exons.